AAAUAAAUAACCAAAAAAUACAUUGCAGUUACCCUUUAAAGGAAACGACAGAGUCUCAUUUAUACUGCCUGACUGUGCCUGUAAGAAAUACAGUUUGGUGUGGUACCAAAAGUGGCAAGAUAUACGUGUUUUCAGCAAGAACAGAGAAUAACAGAGAUGGGCCUAAGAUUCUUGAUGCUCAUGAUGAUAAAGUCCGCUCAAUGACUUACACUGAUAAUGAUCUCGUUAUUAGU
This is a long non-coding RNA of Amphimedon queenslandica, 233 nucleotides long. RefSeq lists it as uncharacterized. The transcript has 3 exons. NCBI's taxonomy places the organism in Eukaryota, Metazoa, Porifera, Demospongiae, Haplosclerida, Niphatidae. The record is from RefSeq and is a predicted model, not a curated record.